AGUCAAGUAAUUAAGUGCAUGUGGUGGAUGCCUUGGCAGUCAGAGGCGAUGAAAGACGUGAUAGCCUGCGAAAAGCUCCGGGGAGGCGGCAAAUAUCCUUUGAUCCGGAGAUGUCUGAAUGGGGGAACCCACCUACUUUAAGGUAGGUAUUGCAACAUGAAUACAUAGUGUUGCAAGGCGAACGAGGGGAAGUGAAACAUCUCAGUACCCUUAGGAAAAGAAAUCAAUUGAGAUUCCCUCAGUAGCGGCGAGCGAACGGGGAUCAGCCCAUUAAGUUAUGUGUGUUUUAGUGGAACGCUCUGGGAAGUGCGAACGUAGAGGGUGAUAUUCCCGUACACGAAAGGGCACACAUAAUGAUGACGAGUAGGGCGAGGCACGUGAAACCUUGUCUGAAUAUGGGGGGACCAUCCUCCAAGGCUAAAUACUCCUGACUGACCGAUAGUGAACCAGUACCGUGAGGGAAAGGCGAAAAGAACCCCUGUGAGGGGAGUGAAAUAGAUCCUGAAACCGCAUGCAUACAAGCAGUGGGAGCACCUUCGUGGUGUGACUGCGUACCUUUUGUAUAAUGGGUCAGCGACUUAUAUUCAGUAGCAAGGUUAACCGUAUAGGGGAGCCGUAGAGAAAUCGAGUCUUAAUAGGGCGUUUAGUUGCUGGGUAUAGACCCGAAACCAGGCGAUCUAUCCAUGAGCAGGUUGAAGGUUGGGUAACACUAACUGGAGGACCGAACCCACUGUCGUUGAAAAGCCAGGGGAUGACUUGUGGAUAGGGGUGAAAGGCUAAUCAAGCCUGGUGAUAGCUGGUUCUCCCCGAAAGCUAUUUAGGUAGCGCCUCGGACGAAUACCAUAGGGGGUAGAGCACUGUUUCGGCUAGGGGGUCAUCCCGACUUACCAAACCGAUGCAAACUCCGAAUACCUAUGAGUACUAUCCGGGAGACAGACUGCGGGUGCUAACGUCCGUAGUCAAGAGGAAAACAAUCCAGACCGCCAGCUAAGGCCCCAAAAUCAUAGUUAAGUGGGAAACGAUGUGGGAAGGCAUAGACAGCUAGGAGGUUGGCUUAGAAGCAGCCACCCUUUAAAGAAAGCGUAAUAGCUCACUAGUCGAGUCGGCCUGCGCGGAAGAUGUAACGGGGCUAAAACUAUGUGCCGAAGCUGCGGAUUUGACAUUAGUCAAGUGGUAGGGGAGCGUUCUGUAAGCCGAUGAAGGUG
RNAcentral lists this ribosomal RNA (1205 nucleotides) under Acinetobacter baumannii. RNAcentral's name for it is "partial 23S ribosomal RNA". It matches the Rfam family "Bacterial large subunit ribosomal RNA", at positions 1 to 1258 of the family's 2925-position model. Lineage: Bacteria; Pseudomonadati; Pseudomonadota; Gammaproteobacteria; Moraxellales; Moraxellaceae. The record is from RNAcentral.